GACGAACGCUGGCGGCGUGCCUAACACAUGCAAGUCGAACGGAGUUAAGAAGGAGCUUGCUUCAUCUUAACUUAGUGGCGGACGGGUGAGUAACGCGUGAGUAACCUGCCUUUCAGAGGGGGAUAACGUCUGGAAACGGACGCUAAUACCGCAUGACAUUUCUGUGCCGCAUGACAUAGAAAUCAAAGGAGCAAUCCGCUGAGAGAUGGACUCGCGUCCGAUUAGCUAGUUGGUGAGAUAAAGGCCCACCAAGGCGACGAUCGGUAGCCGGACUGAGAGGUUGAACGGCCACAUUGGGACUGAGACACGGCCCAGACUCCUACGGGAGGCAGCAGUGGGGGAUAUUGCACAAUGGAGGAAACUCUGAUGCAGCAACGCCGCGUGAGGGAAGAAGGUCUUCGGAUUGUAAACCUUUGUCCUUGGUGAAGAAAAGAAUGACGGUAGCCAAGGAGGAAGCUCCGGCUAACUACGUGCCAGCAGCCGCGGUAAUACGUAGGGAGCAAGCGUUGUCCGGAUUUACUGGGUGUAAAGGGUGCGUAGGCGGCUCUGCAAGUCAGGCGUGAAAACCAUGGGCUUAACCCAUUGGAUUGCGUUUGAAACUGUGGAGCUUGAGUGAAGUAGAGGUAGGCGGAAUUCCCGGUGUAGCGGUGAAAUGCGUAGAGAUCGGGAGGAACACCAGUGGCGAAGGCGGCUUACUGGGCUUUAACUGACGCUGAGGCACGAAAGCAUGGGUAGCAAACAGGAUUAGAUACCCUGGUAGUCCAUGCCGUAAACGAUGAUUACUAGGUGUGGGGGGUCUGACCCCUUCCGUGCCGGAGUUAACACAAUAAGUAAUCCACCUGGGGAGUACGGCCGCAAGGUUGAACUCAA
RNAcentral lists this ribosomal RNA (870 nucleotides) under uncultured bacterium. RNAcentral's name for it is "bacterial SSU rRNA". It matches the Rfam family "Bacterial small subunit ribosomal RNA", at positions 28 to 904 of the family's 1533-position model. The record is from RNAcentral.